Molecule: long non-coding RNA, 368 nt
Filed under: Chinchilla lanigera (long-tailed chinchilla)
Lineage: Eukaryota; Metazoa; Chordata; Mammalia; Rodentia; Chinchillidae
Description: lncRNA (ENSCLAG00000026205.1)
Source: RNAcentral
AUGACUUUCAAAUCCAGAGCUGAGGUUUUCAUUUUCCUGUCAGGUAUUUCCUUGUUCCUGGGGAUCUACAUCUCUUUUCUUCUCCCCAAGUUGUUCCUCAGUUAUUUUCCAGAGUCUGGUUUUCGAUUCUUGGAGAGGAGUCCUGAGGAAACUUUGCUCCAAAGCCCUGCAGCAGACCAUUCCUGCACCACCACUAGCCAUGCUUAUGGGAUUGCCACAGCAACCUGGACUGGUCCUCUGUGGUCCUUGUCGACUUCAUAUGGUCCUGGUCAGUCUGUGAAAAUAAAGUCAGUCACUCUUGCUACCCACAAAGUGUGAUGCACAAUAACUGUUACUGUUCGGAGACAAACACUCCAUCUAAACAAGAA